RNAcentral lists this transfer RNA (74 nucleotides) under Candidatus Bathyarchaeota archaeon. RNAcentral describes it as "tRNA-Gly". It matches the Rfam family "tRNA". From Rfam's summary of the family: Transfer RNA (tRNA) molecules are approximately 80 nucleotides in length. Their secondary structure includes four short double-helical elements and three loops (D, anti-codon, and T loops). Further hydrogen bonds mediate the characteristic L-shaped molecular structure. tRNAs have two regions of fundamental functional importance: the anti-codon, which is responsible for specific mRNA codon recognition, and the 3' end, to which the tRNAs corresponding amino acid is attached (by aminoacyl-tRNA synthetases). tRNAs cope with the degeneracy of the genetic code in two manners: having more than one tRNA (with a specific anti-codon) for a particular amino acid; and 'wobble' base-pairing, i.e. permitting non-standard base-pairing at the 3rd anti-codon position. RNAcentral also lists the same sequence under 2 other names. The record is from RNAcentral. Lineage: Archaea; Thermoproteati; Candidatus Bathyarchaeota.
GCGACUAUGGUCUAAUGGUAUGAUCUCAGCUUCCCAAGCUGAUGACCCGGGUUCGAUUCCCGGUAGUCGCACCA